GAUGAAGAACGUAGCGAAAUGCGAUAAGUAAUGUGAAUUGCAGAAUUCAGUGAAUCAUCGAAUCUUUGAACGCACAUUGCGCCCGCCAGUAUUCUGGCGGGCAUGCCUGUCUGAGCGUCAUUUCAACCCUCAUGCCCCUAGGGCGUGGUGUUGGGGAUCGGCCAAAGCCCGCGAGGGACGGCCGGCCCCUAAAUCUAGUGGCGGACCCGUCGUGGCCUCCUCUGCGAAGUAGUGAUAUUCCGCAUCGGAGAGCGAUGAGCCCCUGCCGUUAAACCCCCAACUUUCCCAGGUUGACCUCAGAUCAGGUAGGAAUACCCGCUGAACUUAAGCAUAUCAAUAAGCGGAGGA
RNAcentral lists this unclassified non-coding RNA (348 nucleotides) under soil metagenome. RNAcentral's name for it is "partial contains 5.8S ribosomal RNA, internal transcribed spacer 2, and large subunit ribosomal RNA". The stretch from base 1 to 120 matches the Rfam family "5.8S ribosomal RNA", at positions 35 to 154 of the family's 154-position model. The record is from RNAcentral.